RNAcentral lists this long non-coding RNA (407 nucleotides) under Struthio camelus australis. RNAcentral describes it as "lncRNA (ENSSCUG00000018614.1)". Lineage: Eukaryota; Metazoa; Chordata; Aves; Struthioniformes; Struthionidae. The record is from RNAcentral.
AUGCCUUUGGGGGCUUUGCUUCCACCCAGUUAUGUUGGGGACCGUGAGACCAGUAACAUGGCCCUGGUAGAAGUGGAGAUGACGUCAGGGUUCAUUCCUAUGAAGAGCUCUGUGAGAGCACUGGAGGAGAUAUUCCUGGUGAAAAAGACAGAGAUAAAACUAGACAAAGUCACAAUCUACUUGGAAAAAGUAAGAGGAAGACCACAGGGGUCUGCUCAUUCAAGAGCAGCAACAACAGUACUUUGCAUUUGGGAUCAUAGAGAUCAGAAAUACAAAGCUCUAGGCUGGUGAAGCAAGCUAAAAUUUUGGCAGAAGAGGAGGAAGGUGGAGGGACCUGAAGAGGUGGAGAAGAAAAUCUCUGACACAGGGAGAAUAAACCUGAGAUGUGGGUGACUUUGAGGAGGCCA